Long non-coding RNA from Lethenteron reissneri (Far Eastern brook lamprey), 878 nucleotides. RefSeq lists it as uncharacterized. NCBI's taxonomy places the organism in Eukaryota, Metazoa, Chordata, Hyperoartia, Petromyzontiformes, Petromyzontidae. The record is from RefSeq and is a predicted model, not a curated record.
CCACGGAGCAGGAGAGAAAGAGCCCCGUCUUCAACCAAGGAGUGUGGUACGAGAAAAAAAGACGCAGUUCGCGGACACUGUCCAGCUCAAAGAGAUUGUUUCUGGAUCCGUACUCGUCCUCCGAAGACAGCGACAAUGACGACAACUUCCCAAACACACAGACUCAGUGACACACACACAGACACACACACACAGACUCGGUGACACACACAGACACACACACAGACACACACACAGACACACACACAGACACACACACAGACACACACACAGACACACACAGACACACACAGACUCAGUGACACACACACAGACACACACAGACUCAGUGACACACACACAGACACACACAGACACACACACAGACACACACAGACUCAGUGACACACACACAGACACACACACGUACACACACACAGACUCAGUGACACACACACAGACUCAGUGACACACACACAGACACACACACAGACACACAGACACACACAGACUCAGUGACACACACACAGACUCAGUGACAACAAAGAUCCCCCAUAUAGCCUUAACAGACUGUAGGGGCAAGUGCUGUUAGCGAGCACCUAUGAAGGCCAGCACGGCACACGAGGGGGUGGGUGGCCAGCACCACGCCCGACCGCCUUUGUCUCCCUAGUGGUGAUGUUUACACACCGCACCAGGUACUCAUUUGAGGCUGAGUCGACCUAGGGGAGGCCCAGGACCGGUUCAGAUAAUCGUCACUGGUGUUGGCCGUGAGCGGGAAUCGAACUCGGGUCACCGGGUUCAUAGCGCAGCGCGCUAACCGCUACACUAUCGCUCCGUGUCGCUGUGUGUGUCGCUGUGUGUGUCUGUGUGUGUCUGUGUGUGUGUCACUCAGUGACACA